CACCAGCCGCCCCCGAAAUGCAGUGGCGACCCCGCCGCAGCCUCCCCUGCGUAGUAGCACACACCUCGCACCGGAGCGCGGAGGCGGUCACGCCGUAAAACGCCCAACUUUCUUAGAGUUGACCUCGGAUCAGGUAGGAAU
Molecule: ribosomal RNA, 141 nt
Filed under: Purpureocillium lilacinum
Lineage: Eukaryota; Fungi; Ascomycota; Sordariomycetes; Hypocreales; Ophiocordycipitaceae
Description: partial 28S ribosomal RNA
Source: RNAcentral